GGCGCACGGGUGCGUAACGCGUAUACAAUCUGCCUUAUACUGGGGUAUAGCCUUUAGAAAUGAAGAUUAAUCCCCCAUAGUCUCUUUUAAUGGCAUCAUUUUAAGAGUAAAGGUUACGGUAUAAGAUGAGUAUGCGUUCUAUUAGUUUGUUGGUGAGGUAAUGGCUCACCAAGGCUACGAUAGAUAGGGGCCCUGAGAGGGGGAUCCCCCACACUGGUACUGAGACACGGACCAGACUCCUACGGGAGGCAGCAGUGAGGAAUAUUGGACAAUGGAGGAAACUCUGAUCCAGCCAUGCCGCGUGCAGGAAGACUGCCCUAUGGGUUGUAAACUGCUUUUAUACAGGAAGAAACCGCUCUACGUGUAGAGCUCUGACGGUACUGUAAGAAUAAGGAUCGG
Molecule: ribosomal RNA, 399 nt
Filed under: uncultured bacterium
Lineage: Bacteria
Description: bacterial SSU rRNA
Rfam family: Bacterial small subunit ribosomal RNA
Source: RNAcentral